CAAUUUACUAAACAAGUGGCCUAUAUAAUGCCGUAAUACGGACGGCAGUCUCUACCCGGAGCCAUAAACUCUGGACUAUAAGCAAUUUGAACAUAAGC
RNAcentral lists this non-coding RNA (98 nucleotides) under Limosilactobacillus panis. Its description in RNAcentral is "Lactobacillus panis Guanine sequence". It matches the Rfam family "Purine riboswitch aptamer". Rfam says of the family: Riboswitches are metabolite binding domains within certain messenger RNAs that serve as precision sensors for their corresponding targets. Lineage: Bacteria; Bacillati; Bacillota; Bacilli; Lactobacillales; Lactobacillaceae. RNAcentral also lists the same sequence under 1 other name. The record is from RNAcentral.